Molecule: ribosomal RNA, 1238 nt
Filed under: uncultured prokaryote
Description: partial 16S ribosomal RNA
Rfam family: Bacterial small subunit ribosomal RNA
Source: RNAcentral
GGAUGAGCCCGCGGCCUAUCAGCUUGUUGGUGAGGUAGUGGCCUACCAAGGCGACGACGGGUAGCCGGCCUGAGAGGGCGACCGGCCACACUGGGACUGAGACACGGCCCAGACUCCUACGGGAGGCAGCAGUGGGGAAUAUUGCGCAAUGGGCGAAAGCCUGACGCAGCGACGCCGCGUGAGGGAUGACGGCCUUCGGGUUGUAAACCUCUUUCAGCAGGGACGAAGCGAGACUGACGGUACCUGCAGAAGAAGCACCGGCCAACUACGUGCCAGCAGCCGCGGUAAUACGUAGGGUGCAAGCGUUGUCCGGAAUUAUUGGGCGUAAAGAGCUCGUAGGCGGUCUGUCGCGUCGGAUGUGAAAACUCGGGGCUCAACCCCGAGCCUGCAUACGAUACGGGCAGACUUGAGUUCGGCAGGGGAGACUGGAAUUCCUGGUGUAGCGGUGAAAUGCGCAGAUAUCAGGAGGAACACCGGUGGCGAAGGCGGGUCUCUGGGCCGAUACUGACGCUGAGGAGCGAAAGCGUGGGGAGCGAACAGGAUUAGAUACCCUGGUAGUCCACGCCGUAAACGUUGGGCGCUAGGUGUGGGGGACCUUCCACGGCCUCCGUGCCGCAGCUAACGCAUUAAGCGCCCCGCCUGGGGGGUACGGCCGCAAGGCUAAAACUCAAAGGAAUUGACGGGGGCCCCGCACAAGCGGCGGAGCAUGCGGUUUAAUUCGAUGCGACGCGAAGAACCUUACCAAGGCUUGACAUACCGGGAAAACUGGCAGAGAUGUCAGGUCCGCAAGGGCCCGGUACAGGUGGUGCAUGGCUGUCGUCAGCUCGUGUCGUGAGAUGUUGGGUUAAGUCCCGCAACGAGCGCAACCCUCGUUCGAUGUUGCCAGCGCGUUAUGGCGGGGCUCAUAGGAGACUGCCGGGGUCAACUCGGAGGAAGGUGGGGACGACGUCAAGUCAUCAUGCCCCUUAUGUCUUGGGCUACACGCAUGCUACAAUGGCCGGUAAAAAGGGCUGCGAUACCGCAAGGUGGAGCGAAUCCCAUAAAGCCGGUCUCAGUUCGGAUCGGGGUCUGCAACUCGACCCCGUGAAGUUGGAGUCGCUAGUAAUCGCAGAUCAGCAUUGCUGCGGUGAAUACGUUCCCGGGCCUUGUACACACCGCCCGUCACGUCACGAAAGUCGGUAACACCCGAAGCCGGUGGCCCAACCCGUAAGGGAGGGAGCCGUCGAAGGUGGGGCUGG